Oxyura jamaicensis (ruddy duck) is the source of this 2005-nucleotide long non-coding RNA. RefSeq lists it as uncharacterized. The transcript has 2 exons. The record is from RefSeq and is a predicted model, not a curated record. Lineage: Eukaryota; Metazoa; Chordata; Aves; Anseriformes; Anatidae.
UUGCUUAAAACAAUUCAUAAUACAAGAAGUUAGCUCCUGAUCUUUUAAAUACUAAUUAUUUUGGAUGAGCUUCAAAAAUAUAAAGUCAAGUAUUUGUUGUACUAAACUCUCUUGGGGGAAAACCAAAAGAAAACAACAAAACCAACCCUGCUCUGUAGUCUUCAAGUCUCUUGUCUCUAGAGGUUCACUGUGUAUGCAGAGGGAUGAAGGCUCCGACUCAGUCUAACACGGCUCGUUAUAAAUGAGACUGAAAGUAAGGUGUUUUUAAACCUAUCCAGCCAGCGCAAAUAGGAAUAGUAUUUCUAAUACUGUGAUGGAUAUUAAACUGUCGCAGGAACCACAUUAAAAAAUUUAAGUGUAACCUUGACACUGCUGUCUGGAACCAAAACCCACCCCGCCUCUCAAAGUUUCUAUUGCGAGACCUUUCCUGCUAAAAUUCUGUGUCUUUCUCGAAGCCAGAAUAACCCUGAAUGAAAUAACGACUCCUUUUUGAUAUAAAAGUUCAUAAGAGGGAGUAAGAUGUAGAGAUAAUUGUGUAUGCCUCUGACCUCCAGGGCGGUUUUAAAAUGUAGGCGUUCUGGGACUGUAUGGGUGGUUUAAUGUGAUAUUUAUCUCCCUUAGAGGAGGUUUUGAUAGAAACCUCUAGGUUAUAAUAGUCUGCAAUAACAAGGUUGCUCUCCUAUCCAUGAAAAGCUAUUCUUAUUUUUUUCUGCUUACUUUUUCUAUAAAGGUCUCUGAUUUCCAGGACAAAGCAUUCCCAAUUUUAGGAGAACUUAUAGAAAAUGUCAGUCUCUUUCCAACAAGAGCAGCCUAGUCCCAGCUCCCUUUUAUCCAUGCGGCCUCGCACAGCCCCUGCCAGGCCACACCUGGGACGUGCCCGCGGUGGCCCUGCUCACUGGGAGAUGGGACCAGAGGCUCCCGCAUGCAUUCCACAUGCAGGGUUUCCACCUUGAAGCUCAUGUUUUGCUGGAGGAGCCCAGCUGAGGAAUAUCUGUCCCACCGCAGGAGCCUCAUCCUCAGGUGUGUUGAAGAGCAGUUGGGUCACGCCAUGGCCUCCCGCUGUGCUAAUUCGUUUUCCUGGCUGUACCUUCUGCCGGUGCCGUGUCCUCUCAAGGACAGCCGCACGGCGGGAGCAGGACGGGCUACAAGGGUGUACGUGUGCUCUCAUACACAGAUCCAAUUCCUUGGGUUCGAGCCCCAAAACCUCCACCCUGGGUGGGCACCAGUGUGCUCCCAGCAGGGUGCUGGUGCAUGGGAGCACCAGGGCUUACCCCAGCCUGCCCUGGGGGAGAGCUGUCCUUGGGCUGUGCAUCACCAGUACAAGAUCAGGCACAGAUCUGCAGAUGUGACACGGGAUUCGGGCCUGGCGUUGCCCUCCAGAGACUUGCCUUUUCUUCCUUUUUUUUUUUUUUUUUUUUUUUUUUUAAUGAGAAUGGACCCGACGUUUUGCUCUUUGCUGCUCCUCAGCUUCUACAGUGUCAUUAGAAUUGACGCUGUUGACAGAAAAUUUUGAAAAUUGUUUGCGUGAUGUGAUAAUAGUGCUCCGUAUUCCUCCUCCAGGUGAGGUUUGUUUUUAAUAAACUGCCACACAGCACGUUCACAGCAGUGGCUCUUCCCACUGCGCAGGUAGCGGGGGAAGGCUACUGAUUCCUCAGGGCCGACACACCCAGCACGUCGUGCACAGCAGCAAAUAUGUCAUAAAUCUACAUAGCUCCUAGAGUUUGCACCUACUUAAGCUGUAAAAGGGAGAAUAUCCAGAAAAAUCUGUUAGUGCCUUCCCACCGAAGGGCUGCUGCCGUUGGAGUAUUGAUGCUGAUGGACUUCUUACACGCGGUUACUUUAGAGGAGUAAUUAAUCUUGGCUUUCAGACUAGCAGCUAAACUCUAUGAGCACCUACAUUAAUCUCUCUACUAAAAGCAUCACAGAAGUAAUCUGCUUUAGCAUCACAACAGUGUUUUUCUUUUUCUUUUUCUUUUUUUUCUUUUUUAUUUGGACCUGAAAAAAA